This 993-nucleotide unclassified non-coding RNA is filed under the name Hevea brasiliensis (rubber tree). The record is from RNAcentral. Lineage: Eukaryota; Viridiplantae; Streptophyta; Magnoliopsida; Malpighiales; Euphorbiaceae.
UUUUAAUUUCUCGCCUGUUUCUCUCUUGGGGGUGCCUGGUGCUGCCUUGACUGGGCGCCUACGCAAUGCCUAGUUAAAGGCGCCUCACCUAGAGGCUUCCCAGGCGAGGUGCUUGGAUUUCACCUUGCUCGGGCGCCUCUUGACAACACUGAAAUAUCACAUCACAUCACAUAAACAUACAUUGCCCAUGACAAUGACAUAAAACUACUUACACACCAAAUAUAGUCUAUAAUAAUAUAUGGGAGCUAAUCUCCUAAUUCAACCAUUGUAAUCCAAUCUUUGUUGGAAAGCUCAACUCAAGUGAAACUCAUGAUAAAUAUCAAACUGUCAAGUGCUAGCAGGCUCAACUUGAGUGAGUCAUAUCUUGCACGUAUGUGUAUCCAUAUAUAACCUAUCAGGUGCCAAUGUUUAACACGCGUGCACGCAAAUACACACAAAACCAGCUCCAUGUCACCACAUCAUAGCGGGACAACACAAUAAAUAAGCAAUAACAAUCAUACGUGAAUAAUUUUAUGCCUUAAUUAAUAUGUAACUAAUUUACAUAUAAUUGAUAAUGCAUGAACAUUUCAACUUAAAUUUAUAUAAAACUAUUGAUGUCAUGUUGCAAUAUUCAAUAUCUAUUCAUCGACUGAAAGACCAAAAGAAGCUCUAGUUGCCGAGAGCUGAACUAGAAGGAAAAGAAUUUGGAAUGCCUAUAAUUAUAUAUAACAAUUUCAUUAGAUGUUUGGAAAGAAAACUCUAAAAAAAUUGUUAAGAAAAAAUGCUAAGGAAUAUAAAGUAAGUCCUAGCAGUUCUAUAAAAAAUCCAGCAGUUUUCUUUUUUAACUAUGACCACGAAGAACAUUCAAACGGGAAAGAGAAAAAAUUCUUAAAUUUUCUAUUAAUUCUCAAUUGUCAAUGUCAAUACUCAAUAAUAAAAGCUUUCUAGCAAAUACAUAAGUUACAUAGGUAUUUGUAGACUAAUAACUAAUCCUACUACUAUUAGGAUUAGGAA